AUUUGAGUUGGUUUAUGGUGAAGUUUUUUGAGUCUCUGAUUGCUCAACUGUCGGGUCCAUCGCCGACCAAACCUGUUGAAGAAAUGGAAACUUCUGGGUUCAUUCUAGUCGCUGGAGCAACAGGUGGCGUUGGGAGAAGGGUGGUUGAUAUCCUGAGGAAAAAAGGCUUGCCAGUUCGAGCUUUAGUAUAUCAGUCUUCCCAUUUUCAGCUUAUUGGUUUUCUAUUUGUUGUGCUUUCAUCAAAUUCAAACCGCAUGCUAUUUGUACAACUUUUGAGAAGAGACAGAAUAAGUAUUGAUAAUGAUGUCUUUUUUCUUUUUCUCAACGGUUAGUUUUAUUUUAUUUUAUCUUUCAGGUCAGAAAUGAAGAGAAAGCGAGGAAGAUGUUAGGCCCAGACAUUGGAUUGGUUAGUUCAAUCACCACUUAUUGAUCAAAGUUAUUGUAAUAAUAUGGUUAGGCCCAGUUUUCUUGUAUAGAAGUUUCUUAAAUUACCAAUCAAACUCAAAAGGGAAGCUGAUGAGUGAAGUUAAAUUUAAUAUUAUAACAACAUUCUAACACCCACUUUACUUGUGAAUUUGAAAUUUGUGAAGAUCUAAGAAGUAUAAAUUAACAUUAAAUGAAGCAUAAAGGGCAUAAUGAGUUUUUGACUUUGAACAAUUACUGCUUUUAUCUUAAAUCACAACUCAACCCAAAAAUUACUGAUGACUAAAACUAAAUUUAAUAUUAUAUCACCAAUCUAACAAAGAUAUUGCAAAUGUAUCCUGGAUGAUAAUUGGCAAGUAAAAUGAAAGUAUGUACCAACUAACUUAACUGAGGCUUUGCUUUGAGAGAGAAGUAAAUACGUAUCUUAGGAAGUUGACUCAUUAAUUCUUAAUCAUUUGCCACUUCAAUUUUUUUCUACUGAUAAACUAAAAAAAUGUAUUAUUUUUCUUUAUCUUUCACUUCACUUCAACCAAGCUUUGACAGAUGUCAUUCCUUACCAUCAUAUCAUACAAGUAUAUGUGAAUUUUUAGCCAUAAACCAAAGUUGUCUGAAAACCAAACGACCAUAUAAUAUGCUGACUGAAGUAGCGCUAGGAGAAAUGGGAAUAAAAAAAUUAAGAAUACUAUUUUAAGUACUUCACAAUAGGUAGAUAUAGUAUUAUUAAGAAAUCACAUUCUGUUUGUGGUUUGCUCUUUUUUCCAAACUCUAUUCUGCUCGAACUUGUUUCAACUUUCAAGUACCUCCAAAUCAUUUUCCUUACCUUGAAAUAUCAGAUUGUUGGGGAUGUUACUAAGAGGAGCACUUUGGCACCUGAGAACUUAAAGGGAGUGAGAAAGGUAAUUAAUGCUGUCUCCGUCAUUGUUGGACCAAAGGAAGGAGACACUCCAGAAAGAGCAAAGUAUAGCCAAGUAUGUCUAUUGAUGUCUACUAUUAUUAUUUUUACCCUUCAAUCUAUGUCAGUAUAGGUAUUACUAUUUUAACUUUCUGACCAUUUGUCAAUUCCAGGAACUUAUUGUUUAUAUUCAAUUCCAUAUUUCUGCAGCAGCUUUCUGAUUCAAUCUUUGAUAUGGUGCAGGGAAUCAAGUUCUUUGAACCUGAGGUGACUAGCUAAAUGUCGGAGUCAGAUUUGAAUGAAUGUGAUUUGGGAGUUGAAACUAAAAGUUUUAGUUGACUUGGACAUGUAUGGUAGACAACGUAAGAAGUAAUGCUUCCUGGCGAGAUUGAUUUUAUGGUUAAUUGAUGCAGAUCAAAGGCGAUUCACCAGAUUUGGUGGAAUUUAUUGGAAUGCAAAACUUGAUCAAUGCUGUGAAGAGUGGUGUUGGACUCCGAAAUGGGAAGCUACUUUUUGGAUUUGAAGGUACACUUCGAUCAAGUUAUAGGUGAUUUUUCCUUUUGCUUUUGUGAGCCACUUGGUCCUAUUUGAAACAACUACCUGCUGUUAGAAAACAACUACCCGCUGAUUAGAAAACAACUACCAGCUGUAGCAUAUUGUAUUUCAUUUUCUACCUACAAAAUUUUAUUCCAAUGUUGAAAGAUGUAUUGCAAUUAUGGCAGCUGAUACAUAAAUGAUGAGCACCAUUUUCCUAUAUUCCAGCUCUAUAACUUAUGGAUGAUUCUUUAAUGGAUGAUUCUUUCCAUCUAUGCUUUGAAUCUGUUAGUUGACGCUCUGUAUGACCAAACAGAGGGUCUAGUGGCACCUCUAGAUUGCGUUAUUUGAUAUUUAUCUCUAAUAAUAAAUUGAUCUCUUCUUCUCGACAUAUCUUCUUCUACCAUGGACAUAGCUAACACAUUGUUAGUGAAUCACGUAAAUUAUGUGUCGAUGAUGCAAUCAUGUUCUAAGAGUAAUCUAGUUUAUUACUUCAUUAUUUGCAGGAAACAGUAUCAAAGAAAUUCCUUGGGGUGCUUUAGACGAUGUGGUAAUGGGUGGAGUAAGUGAAAGUUCAUUUCAAAUCGACAUGAACGGUGGUGAAAAUGGUGAACCAACUGGACUUUUUAAAGGUUUCUUCCUUUAACCCUUUAGACAGUGUACCAGUCCAAGAUUACGUCACUGUUAAUAGAAGUAACACAUUGUCAUCAAGAAUCUAAGUUUGGAUGCCUCUGUUUCAGGUGUUCUUUCAACUGCAAACAAUGGUGGCUUUACUAGUAUUCGGACAAGGGUAAUGUGCAUAUCUUGAAUAUUUCCUCUGCACAUGCCUUACAUUGUCAGAUAUCUAUAACUAAUUGUAAUCGCCUUUUUGUAAAGAAUGCUUGAUGGUCGUUUUUAGGUUAUGAAAAACAACUUCAUUAAGUAAGGAAUUUGUGACGAAUAUUCCUUUUAUAAAUUGAGAAUUAUUUUUUCAUCAUCAUCAAGAAAACCUAGAUUAUCAUUUUGAGUAGCAUUUGAGUAAUAUUUUGUUUCCAAAUUUGGAUUGCAUCAAAUUCUUUUUCUAUUGCUUAGGCUGAAUGACCAACCCUCAUCAUUUUUUUAUUGGUUCUUUUUCCUUCAUGUCUUUGCUUAUGACGAAUGGGAAUUACUGAUUGCUUCAUUUGUUCUUCAGACAGAUCAUUUUCUUUUCCUUUAGUUUCUUCUAUUAGUUUUCUUCAAUAAAGAGAUUGCUCUAUUACAUCCCCUAAUCUAAUGUUCUUCCAUGCUUUGUAUAUACAGAAUUUUUCUGUGCCAGAAGAUCUUUCUGCUUAUGAUGGAUUGGAGUUGCGUCUCAAAGGUGAUGGACGUCGGUAUAAACUGAUUAUCCGCACCGACACAGUCUGGGAUACUGUUGGUUAUACAGCCAGCUUUGACACUGCAAAAGGGGAAUGGCAGUCAGUGAGUAUCACUAUCAGACCUUUAUUGGGUGUUUGAAAAAGUGUCUUUAAACUCUUUUUUAAUCAAACUAUUAAUGACUGGUUAUAUUUCUUUUACCUCAAAUAUUCAGAUUCGUGUGCCAUUUACCUCUCUGAGGCCAAUCUUUCGAGCUCGUACUGUUACAGAUGCCCCACCUUUUGAUCCUACGAAUAUUGUGUCACUGCAGGCAAGAUUGCUUUUCUUUUAGUUUCUUCUCAUUUUCUCCCUUGCAUGGUGUUUUUCACAUGCACUUCAUAAUCAUGUGCAGCUCCUGUUUAGCAAGUUUGAGUAUGAUGGGAACCUCAACCCAACUUUUGUUGAAGGUCCAUUUCAACUUCCACUAUCAAGUAUAAGGGCUUAUAUAAAAUAUCCUCUAACUCCCAGGUUCACCGAAAAUACUAUCUUUUAGAACUCAGCUGAUUUUGAUCUCUUUCCAAUUUUCUUAAUCAGCUCCUCUCUCUGUUUAUCCACUCACAGGUUUGUCCAUGUGAGUUCAGCUGGAGUUACAAGACCUGAGAGGCCUGGGCUUGAUCUCAGCAAACAACCUCCUGCUGUCCGAUUGAAUAAAGAAUUGGAUUUUAUUCUUACAUCCAAAUUGAAGGUUUAAGACUAAUUCUAUUAAUACAUUCUUCUAGAAUUGGCCAGAUGAUCCAACUCUCAUAUAUGACUUCUUAUGUUCCAUUUCAUUUAAAUAUUGAUCAUUUCCUCUACAGGGAGAGGACUUAAUUCGGGAAAGUGGAAUUCCUUAUGCAAUAAUAAGACCUUGCGCGUUAACGGAGGAGCCUGCUGGUGCAGAUCUCAUUUUUGAUCAAGGAGAUAAUAUAACGGUACACCAAAACAACUGAUGUAUGAGGUUUAGAUUUUAAACAUACCUAUCAUUGAAACAUGCAAUUCACCAACUGUUCCUGCAUAUAACAGAAGAUUAUAUGAUGAAUCAGACACCUGUUAACUUUACUUCUGGUUUUCAAAUUUUUAAAUAUAAUUUCUUGUGAUGGCAUUCUUUCCUUUUUUAAAUGCAGGGUAAGGUAUCAAGCGAAGAAAUUGCUCGUAUUUGCAUUGCUGCUUUGGAAAGUCCAUAUGCAUGUGACAAAACGUUUGAGGCAAUGCCCUCCCUCCGUCUCUAUUUACUUUAUUUUCUUGUGUGAUAAAAUGAUUUAGUUGCCUUUUCCCUCCAUUCAUGAUCUAUCUAGUAUCUCAUUGAUUGUUAACUUCGAUGGCUGUUUGAACUUUAUGUCAGAGUUCUACGGGCAGUAAACUAAAUGUGACUUCUGAAAAAUGAAAGACAGAAAAUAGAAGUUCUCUGCACACAAAUGUUCUCCAACUUUUUAACCUUGCCACUUGUAAAAGAUUAUAGGUUAUGGAGGAUCCUAUAUCGAAAAAAAGUGCUAUUCCUCUCACCGUUAAUUGAUUGUUAAUUGAUUUUGAGAUGAAAUAUCACAUUAUCUAAUAUAGUUGUAGUAUAGAAUUGAAAUGCCGGUGCAUAUACUUGUUUGUCCUUCAUAGGUAGAGAAAAUUCAUGAUGCUACUUAUCACAUUGACCAUAAUCAACUAGAAAAACAUUUUCACCCAAUAUUUUAAAGUUGUCACACGUUUAAAGAUUGUUUAUUCCAAAGCCCCAAGGAAAUAACAAAAAUCGAAAAGAUUAAGAGCCCCCCCUCCCCCCAGCCCCUACACACAUAAAAAAAAGGAAUAAAAGAAGAUAUAGUGCAAUGGAAGGGAAUGCAGGUAAGAAUCUUUAGCUUUACUGAUUGGACUGAAGCUGAAUGACCACAAAAGAGGCAGAAUACUGAACGUGGGAUUUGAUUACAUAUAUAGAUGAUCUAUUUUAGUUACAAUCAUUAAAGUUCUCACUUCUCAGUGAUAUCAUCUUGCAGGUUAAAAGUGUGAUUCCAUUUGGUGAACCAUUCACUGUGGACCCUGAGAAUCCACCUCUAGAAAAAGACUACAAUAUUUAUUUCAAAACCCUGAAGGAUGGCAUUACCGGGAAAGAACUCCUUGUGCAAACCCCUGCUCCAGUUUGAUUGCGUUCCACGGAAAAAUCUCCUUUCAGUUCGAAAUAUGUAUUUGUUGAAACCCCCAAAUUUGCAUACUUAUAAAAGAAGGGGCAAGAGAGGAAUUUUUUGCGUGUCCCCCUUGACUGUUGGUAUAAAUAAGGAAUGUUUUGGGAUUGUUACCCUAGGUCUAUUUUAGGUAAAAGCUGCUGAAGGCUUUUAGGGAGAGGAUUCCAGCGUUCUCAAAGGAGCUGGGCACUGUUUGCUUGUUGUCUUUAUUUUCCUUUUAACUCUUCUUUGCUGGAUUUCUCAUGUAAUGUUGUGAACUGGAUAAUAUUGCUCUUUCAGUAUAUGAAACAGAGUGUUUUCUCUGUUUUAUUCUCUUGUUAUUGUUGUCUGGGAGUUUUUCUGAGUUUCAGGACAAGGUACCUUAGCAGUAUUAUAGUGUGAGGAAUUGAGAUUUCAUUUUUGGUACACCAAAUUUGGCAGGAGCUUUAGAACAAAAGGCUAAAUAUAAAAUCUUGUCUGUGACUUGUCUUUAACAUCUUUGCAGGUUACUUUUCUUUGUGCAUUCACAGAAACAAUCCACAGUGUUCAUCACUCAUUUUUAGUGGCCAUAUAAUUUAUCUUAUGCUAGUCAAUUGCCUUUAAAUGAUUUGUAAAAAAGCACUUAUAUUCGAGAGAAAUUCAAAUGAUUCAUAAAAAAACACUUACAUGGGAUAGAAAUUCAAAGGAAAUGGGGAGAAAUUAAAUUUUUUUAGUUUUUAUAAUUUUCUUAAUUUUAUUAUUUAUUUAUUAAUUUUAUAUAUUAUAUUAUAUUAUCUUAAUAUUAUAUUUUUUCGAAUUUGGUAUCUUGAUGCGACUAUUUUUACAACACUUUCAUAUUUCUUUUUUGUUUAACCUAUUUAAUUUUUUAUGUAAAAUUGAUGAGAUUUUGAGAAAUUAUUUUGGGGUAAGAAUUGAAAAAUCAAAUUUAAAAGUGUCAAUGGAUUUUUAAGGUAUUUAACCAUUUUAAAAAGUACAUGAUUUCAUUGAUGAGUUAUUUGUACGAAUGACUUCUAUUUAGAGAUCCAGAUGAAAAAUGACUCAAAUUUGAAAAGUGAACGAAAAGUGAUAUCCAAUCUAUAUUAACACUUUACAAAUUUACUAAUAUGCCUAAAAACCACCCACAUGCUUGCAACUAAGAAUGUCACUAGAUGUACGAUGCUUGAUACUUAAUGCUCUAUGUUUUAUGUUAUAUACUAGAUACUAGAAAUGAAAAAAGAUCCAAACAAAAAAGAGUAAGAAAACUAAAAAAAUAGAGGGUAAAAAGAAGCAAAAUAGAAAAGAAGAAGUGGAAAGAAAAGCUGAAAAGAUGGGUUGAAUGCAUUUAAGAUUAAAAUGGUAAUUUUAUUGAACUAGGAGAGAAAGAAAAGACCAAUUCUGAUUGAUUUAAAAAAAAAUACUCACUAUCGUUUGAAGUUAUUGAAGAAAAUUUCAUUAAUUCACGUUUGAUUGAAUUUGAUGUGUAAUGAAGUUGCAAUUAUAUUUUGAUAAGAUGAUUUAGAUCUCAAACAUUGGAAAAAAGAAAUAAAAUUGAUUAUAAAUGGUAAAAAUGUUGUAUUGUUUUAUGAUUUGACCCUCAUUUGAAUUGUUAGCUAAAUUUAAAAAACAAAAAGAAACGUUUUUGUUAAUUCUCCCGUCGUUAAAGCGGAGGGAAGGGUUAGUCGGUCUGAUUGUUGGCGCUUUUUUGUGGUCUCUAUUUGUUUCUAAUUCUCAGUUAUCAAAUAUCAACAACAGACCUUGAACUCUCUUCUUUCAUUUUUGCUUCAAUCAAUAAUGGAAAUCUCUUCCCUUGCCCUCCAACUUUCAUCUCUACCGUCCUCCUCCUCCCUUCUUCUUAAGGUAAUCAAUCACUCUUCAACAACUCCGAUUUCAUCUUUAAUCUUAUAAACCCAUCUCCUGUUUUCUUCAAUUCAACUUCAUUUUGCCGUUGCAGACUCCUUCGUCAUCACCCACUACCACUACUAGAAGGAGUUUCUUCCUAUCAUCUCAACUUCCUAACCCAUUUCUCCAAAUUCUCGCCGGAAACCACUCUUUUCUCCACUUGAGCAUCCCACAAUCCUGCUCCCUCAGACUCCCAACAAAACCCGUUUCUGCAGAAGCUUGGGAUUUUGGUAGGUUUUUGAGAACCUUGUACUUUUUCAAUGGCCCCCCAUCUCCAUCCAAGGUUGGAUUAACUUCUUGGCCUUAUGGCUUUUAUUGGGUUUUUUUUUCACUGAUCAAUUGACUGAAAUUUGACUUGGUUUAUGGUGAAGUUUUUUGAGUCUCUGAUUGCUCAACUGUCGGGUCCAUCGCCGAGCAAACCUGUUGAAGAAAUGGAAACUUCUGGCUUCAUUCUAGUUGCUGGAGCAACGGGUGGGGUUGGGAGAAGGGUGGUUGAUAUCCUGAGGAAAAAAGGCUUGCCAGUUCGAGCUUUAGUAUAUCAGUCUUCCCAUUUUCAGCUUAUUGGUUUUCUAUUUGUUGUGCUUUCAUCAAAUUCAAACCGCAUGCUAUUUGUACAACUUUUGAGAAGAGACAGAAUAAGUAUUGAUAAUGAUGUCUUUUUUCUUUUUCUCAACGGUUAGUUUUAUUUUAUUUUAUCUUUCAG
Molecule: long non-coding RNA, 7924 nt
Filed under: Cucumis sativus (cucumber)
Lineage: Eukaryota; Viridiplantae; Streptophyta; Magnoliopsida; Cucurbitales; Cucurbitaceae
Description: long non-coding RNA (CSAT_LNC000329)
Source: RNAcentral